AAUGAACGCUGGCGGCGUGCCUAACACAUGCAAGUCGGAUGUGCCCGCAAGGGUGCAUGGCAGACGGGUGAGUAACGCGUGGGGAAUCUACCUUUUAGUGGGGAAUAACGCUCCGAAAGGAGUGGUAAUACCGCAUGUGACCAUCGGCUGGGAUGCUGAUGGUGAAACCCUGGGACCUUCGGGCCAGGGGCUAGAAGAGGAUCCUGCGUCUGAUUAGCUAGUUGGCGGGGUAACGGCCCACCAAGGCGACGAUCAGUAGCCGGCCUGAGAGGGUGAUCGGCCACACGGGAACUGAGACACGGUCCCGACUCCUACGGGGGGCAGCAGUGAGGAAUAUUGGGCAAUGGGCGAAAGCCUGACCCAGCAACGCCGCGUGGAGGAUGAAGGCUUUAGGGUUGUAAACUCCUUUUGUGGGGAAAGAAUGGAUGGUACCCCAAGAAUAAGUCACGGCUAACUACGUG
RNAcentral lists this ribosomal RNA (461 nucleotides) under uncultured bacterium. RNAcentral's name for it is "bacterial SSU rRNA". It matches the Rfam family "Bacterial small subunit ribosomal RNA", at positions 29 to 507 of the family's 1533-position model. The record is from RNAcentral.